GAUGAACGCUAGCGGCAGGCCUAAUACAUGCAAGUCGGACGGGAUUGGAGAGCUUGCUUUCCAUGAGAGUGGCGCACGGGUGCGUAACACGUAUGUAACCUACCCUUGUCAGGGGGAUAGCCUCUCGAAAGAGAGAUUAAGCCCGCAUAACAUUGAGACAUAGCAUUAUGAUUCAAUCAAAUAUUUAUAGGACAAGGAUGGGCAUGCGGAACAUUAGCUAGUUGGUAAGGUAAUGGCUUACCAAGGCUACGAUGUUUAGGGGGAUCUGAGAGGAUGACCCCCA
This 283-nucleotide ribosomal RNA is filed under the name uncultured bacterium. RNAcentral's name for it is "partial 16S ribosomal RNA". It matches the Rfam family "Bacterial small subunit ribosomal RNA", at positions 28 to 310 of the family's 1533-position model. The record is from RNAcentral.